This is a long non-coding RNA of Lycium ferocissimum, 470 nucleotides long. RefSeq lists it as uncharacterized. Lineage: Eukaryota; Viridiplantae; Streptophyta; Magnoliopsida; Solanales; Solanaceae. The transcript is spliced from 3 exons. The record is from RefSeq and is a predicted model, not a curated record.
CACUAAGUGAGUACUUAGUGGGUUAUUUUAUUAAUAAUAAUAAAGUUGGUUCAGGCAAAAUGCCCCAAACAAAAACAACAAAACGCAAAUAAACAGACAAUGCUCUAGAAGGUUCAAACAAGAGAAAAUUAGGAAAGUAAAAAACUUGCAGCAGCAGCCGCCGUUCUUCAGCUUCACCGCCGCCGGAGAAGAUGCUGAUUUCUCCGAUAUGGAACAACUAUUCGCAUCCCUAAGCUCUCACCAGAUGUCGUUUAUCCAUAUCCACGGAGUUCAAUCUCAGAUCAAUCAGAACUAUUCCAACAAGGUCCUCUGCCUGAUCAUUCUCUGACAAAGCAACAAACUGAUUACUGAUCUGCACAACAUUGAUUCCAAUGACCAGAAUUGCCAAUCAUCCUGCUACUAGAGAGCAUUCUAGCUGAAUUAUGGUAUCCUCUAUGCCUUUCCUUUUCAUAAUUAUUUUGUUUUCCCCU